GCGCAGCUGAUGCAUUACGCCGCGUGAGUGAAGAAGGCCCUCUGGGUUGUAAAGCUCUUUCGGCUGGGAAGAAGGGUCUACGUGCUAAUAUCGCGUGGAUUUGACGGUACCAGAAGAAGAAGCACCGGCUAACUUCGUGCCAGCAGCCGCGGUAAUACGAAGGGUGCAAGCGUUGUUCGGAAUAACUGGGCGUAAAGGGCGCGUAGGCGGGUCGGUAAGUUAGAUGUGAAAUCCCCGGGCUUAACCUGGGAACUGCAUCUAAUACUGCCGAUCUUGAAUGUUCGAGAGGGUGGUGGAAUUCCCGGUGUAGAAGUGAAAUUCGUAGAUAUCGGGAGGAACAUCCGAGGCGAAGGCGGNCACCUGGCGAAACAUUGACGCUGAGGCGCGAAAGCGUGGGGAUCAAACAGGAUUAGAUACCCUGGUAGUCCACGCCGUAAACGAUGAAUGCUAGAUGUUCGGAGAGUUAACCCUCUGAGUAUCGCAGCUAACGCAUUAAGCAUUCCGCCUGGGAAGUACAGUCGCAAGGCUGAAACUCAAAGGAAUUGACGGGGGCCCGCACAAGCGGCGGAGUAUGUGGUUCAAUUCGAAAGCAACGCGCAGAACCUUACCUGGUCUUGACAUCCCGCGAAGACUGCGAGAUG
RNAcentral lists this ribosomal RNA (641 nucleotides) under uncultured bacterium. RNAcentral describes it as "bacterial SSU rRNA". It matches the Rfam family "Bacterial small subunit ribosomal RNA", at positions 377 to 1008 of the family's 1533-position model. The record is from RNAcentral.